Molecule: ribosomal RNA, 669 nt
Filed under: Eiseniella tetraedra
Lineage: Eukaryota; Metazoa; Annelida; Clitellata; Crassiclitellata; Lumbricidae
Description: partial large subunit ribosomal RNA
Rfam family: Eukaryotic large subunit ribosomal RNA (bases 402-669)
Source: RNAcentral
GACUGUAUGGUCCGCCCGUCGGAUUCAGUCCGCCUGUGCGGCGUCGGCGCCGGCCGCGCAUCCCUCGUGGGAGCGCGCCGGCGUCCGGUCGUCGUGUGGCGGCCGUACUUUUGGCGGGGGGAGCGCCACGACCGGUUUGUCGGCGGCGAGAAACUCCCGGGCAAGGUGACCUUUGUCUCGGCGCAGGAGCAUACAGGCCCGGCGAGCGUCGGCCCGUCGGCGGACCGAGGAAGACCGUCGCGGAGCGGCGUCGACCGCCCGUCGUGUGGUCGCGUUCGACUCGGGGGGACUGGUUCCAGUGCCCUCGGACCGCGCGGCCGCAGCGGCGGGACGGCCAGGCGUCGCGCCUGGGGUCGGUGGCGAAACGGCCGGCAACCUGUCCGACCCGUCUUGAAACACGGACCAAGGAGUCUAACAUGUGCGCGAGUCGUUGGGCGCUACGAAACCCGAAGGCGCAAUGAAAGUGAAGGCCCGGUCUCCGGCCGGCCUGGGUGGGAUCCGGGCGGCCUCGGCCGUCCGGCGCACCACCGGCCCGUCUCGUUCGCCGCGUCGAAGAGGCGGAGCAAGAGCGUACACGUUGGGACCCGAAAGAUGGUGAACUAUGCCCGAGUAGGACGAAGCCAGAGGAAACUCUGGUGGAGGUCCGCAGCGAUUCCGAGAAACAAAUCA